GCUACGGGGGGCAGCAGUAGGGAAUGUUGCGCAAUGGGCGAAAGCCUGACGCAGCAACGCCGCGUGAAUGAGACGCGCUUCGGGGUGGAAAGUUCUGUCAGUGGGGACGAAAAAUGACGGUACCCACAGAGGAAGCACCGGCUAACGCCGUGCCAGCAGCCGCGGUAAUACGGAGGGUGCAAGCGUUGUCCGGAAUCCUUGGGCGUAAAGAGUUCGUAGGCGGCAGGUAAAGUCAGGUGUUAAAGGCGCCGGCUCAACCUGUGGAUGGCACUUGAUACUUGCAAGCUGGACUGCGGUAGAGGUAAAGGGAAUUCCUGUUGUAGCGGUGUACUGCUUAGAUAUCAGGAGGAACAUCGGUGGCGUACGCGCUUUACUGGGCCGUAAUUGACGCUGAGGUACGAAAGCCAGGGUAGCAAAUGGGAUUAGAUACCCCUGUAGUC
Molecule: ribosomal RNA, 440 nt
Filed under: uncultured bacterium
Lineage: Bacteria
Description: partial 16S ribosomal RNA
Rfam family: Bacterial small subunit ribosomal RNA
Source: RNAcentral